CCUACGGGAGGCAGCAGUGAGGAAUAUUGGUCAAUGGACGAGAGUCUGAACCAGCCAAGUAGCGUGAAGGAUGACUGCCCUAUGGGUUGUAAACUUCUUUUAUAUGGGAAUAAAAUGUUCCACGUGUGGGAUUUUGUAUGUACCAUAUGAAUAAGGAUCGGCUAACUCCGUGCCAGCAGCCGCGGUAAUACGGAGGAUCCGAGCGUUAUCCGGAUUUAUUGGGUUUAAAGGGAGCGUAGGUGGAUUGUUAAGGCAGUUGUGAAAGUUUGCGGCUCAACCGUAAAAUUGCAGUUGAAACUGGCAGGCUUGAGUACAGUAGAGGUGGGCGGAAUUCGUGGUGUAGCGGUGAAAUGCUUAGAUAUCACGAAGAACUCCGAUUGCGAAGGCAGCUUACGGCACUGCAACUGACACUGAGGCUCGAAAGUGUGGGUAUCAAACAGGAUUAGAUACCCCGGUAGUU
Molecule: ribosomal RNA, 460 nt
Filed under: uncultured bacterium
Lineage: Bacteria
Description: partial 16S ribosomal RNA
Rfam family: Bacterial small subunit ribosomal RNA
Source: RNAcentral